UAGCAACCCAGCACUUCAUGUCUAAGGGAAAGCAGCUGCAGGAGAAACUACUUUGAAUCUGCUAUAUUAGUCUAAUAGGUUUGCAACAGAACAAGCUCCACCAAGGUUCCGUUGGAGAGUCUUUCAGCAAGAUGUGACAACAUGCCAAACUGAAAGAAUGAAAGUGGCUUAAUCCUUCAAGGUGGUGUGUGCCUCCUGCAAAAUGAAGUUGAAAAUCAGGUCCUUUUGAGCCCCCUCUUCAUUCAUUAAUCAGAGAGCCUGAAACAAUACCUCUCCGAUAUGAACUGCCCCAUUCUUUCCAGUGGCUGCUAACCCAGAUGCUAAUUCACUACUCAACGCACACAGGAAGCAUCAUACAAUAAAAAGCUAUACAUAUACUCUGAGUAAUCACUUAU
Long non-coding RNA from Chelonia mydas (Green sea turtle), 395 nucleotides. RefSeq lists it as uncharacterized. Lineage: Eukaryota; Metazoa; Chordata; Testudines; Cheloniidae. The record is from RefSeq and is a predicted model, not a curated record. The transcript is spliced from 3 exons.